AUGGCCGUCGCGAGGAGGACGAUGAGGCUCGCCCUGCCGGUGAUCAUGGCGGCGUUCCUACUUCUGGCGGUGCUCGGCGAGGCGCGGCCGCUGGGCGGCGCCGACUGGGCGGCCGCCGGAGGGACCGCGCUGCCGGGCGCGUCGACCAUGGCCCAGGCGCUCCGGCGGCUGUUCACGCAGCGGCUGGACGGGCCGGGCGCCUCCUGCACCACCAACAGCCCGAACAACCGCUGCCCGCCGUAG
This 243-nucleotide ribosomal RNA is filed under the name Triticum aestivum (bread wheat). RNAcentral's name for it is "partial small subunit ribosomal RNA". Lineage: Eukaryota; Viridiplantae; Streptophyta; Magnoliopsida; Poales; Poaceae. The record is from RNAcentral.